Molecule: ribosomal RNA, 253 nt
Filed under: uncultured bacterium
Lineage: Bacteria
Description: partial 16S ribosomal RNA
Rfam family: Bacterial small subunit ribosomal RNA
Source: RNAcentral
UACGUAGGGUGCAAGCGUUGUCCGGAAUCAUUGGGCGUAAAGAGCGCGUAGGCGGCCCUGUAAGUCCGCUGUGAAAGUCAAGGGCUCAACCCUUGGAUGCCGGUGGAUACUGCAGGGCUAGAGUCCGGAAGAGGCGAGUGGAAUUCCUGGUGUAGCGGUGAAAUGCGCAGAUAUCAGGAGGAACACCGAUGGCGAAGGCAGCUCGCUGGGACGGUACUGACGCUGAGGAGCGAAAGCGUGGGGAGCGAACAGG